Molecule: transfer RNA, 73 nt
Filed under: Sphaerochaeta pleomorpha str. Grapes
Lineage: Bacteria; Pseudomonadati; Spirochaetota; Spirochaetia; Spirochaetales; Sphaerochaetaceae
Description: tRNA-Asn (GTT) (tRNA-Asn-GTT-1-1)
Rfam family: tRNA
About the family: Transfer RNA (tRNA) molecules are approximately 80 nucleotides in length. Their secondary structure includes four short double-helical elements and three loops (D, anti-codon, and T loops).
Source: Rfam by way of RNAcentral
UCGCCUAUAGCUCAGUCGGUAGAGCAGAUGGCUGUUAACCAUCUUGUCGGGGGUUCAAAUCCCUCUGGGCGAG